UGGGUUCUUGCAUCAUAGUGAUUCUAAAUGACUAGAAGUGAAGGGUCUGUCUGGCACAGCAGUUGGGGACCAGUACUGAGAUUUCAGGACUUCCGAUAUGACCGUCUUUGUGGAUCAGGCUGCCUUUACAUUCAAGGUCGGAAGCAGAGGGUAAUAAGGUGUAAUGGAAUGAGAAUGGAACAAGCACAGGAUCUGGAGACACAAGCCAGGUCUCCAGUCACUGCUUAGCCGGAGAUGAAUGGCUGGAGACCUUGGACACAAUGCUGCCUUGGGUCUCAGGAGGAGUUGCACCAGAAGAUUUUGCUCACCUAGCAACACUGGCUGUGGCUGAGGAGUGGUGUUCCUCUACACAGAGCCUGGGCUUUCCUCCAGACUUGCUGCCCUCUUGCAAGCCCCCUGCCUGAUGUCACCUGCCUGAUGCUGGUGCUUUUCGACUGCUGUAUCUAUGAAGGGAGAAGCAUUUGCUGCUGAAACACUUGAGAGUAAAGUUUAGCAGAUUCAUCUGGUGAGAGAAUGGAAAAAGGGAGACAUUCAUCAAUUUUACAACCUGCAGUCCAUCCUCAGACCAAAUCAGGAAGAAGAGUGCAUGGAGAAAACAUUUGGGAAGAAAAGGUAUUUUCAAAACAUCUGGAGCAAGAGACAAAUCCCAUCAGCUCAGUUCCAACAAUAUAUGCAGAUGGGCAACUGAUGGUCAGACUCCAGUGGUUCUUCAAAACUUUCUAGGAGGUAAACAAGAUGAAAGGGAAAGCACACAAAUUUGCUGGAAUUUGGAAAACACGAACCCUGGAAUUUGGAGGAGUCACUUCCACUGGAAAAUACUUUUAUAUUAUUUAUAGUGGCUACCAUUACCGUGCUCACUUUACAGGUGAGGUUCAGAGAUUUAUGUAACAUGCCAAAGGUCACACAGCUGGACACAGCAGAACCAAGAUUCAAAUCUGCACAGCAGUAAAUGAAACCAGCCCAGCUGCGUGCUCACCUGAAACUUAUUUUCUCCUUCACGUUCCAAACUCAUGACUUGCUUGUGGCAGAAAAAAAGAACUACUUCGGGGUCCGCAACCCCUGGCAGUGGACCGGUACCAGCCCAUGGCCAGUUAGGAUCUGGGUAACACAGCAGCAGGGCCAUUUCAGUCCAAGGAGGAAUGGGACGCAUAGGUGACCACCAAAUAGUGAAGAAUAUGAAAAUCCAUGGUCAUCCCAGAAAAGAUGAGAAAAACUGAGGCUCAGAGAUGCAAAGUAGUUUUUCUAAGUAUUGGACUCAAAAGUCUUCAUUCUUUCUGCCACAAAAUGCUGCCUUAUAGCUGUCACAGCUAUGGGUAUACCACAGCACUGUGAAAUGGGAGAUUCCCUGAUCCCCCUGGCGGGAUGUGUGACAGGAGUAUGGCUCGCCUGUUCAGUUGCUGACACUGCUCAAAGCCCUGAUGGGAGGCGGGGCAUGCAGAUGGAUAGAUACAGGAGCUCAGGAUUGUUUUCUUCCAUCUGUGCAAAGUUCUACUUCCAUAGGGCAGGCCUUGUGCUGACCCAUGGAGGGCAUUGGAGAGGAAUCUUACUUGGUUUUUCUUGUAAAUUGGUCAAAAUCAUUAGCCUGAAGGUCUUACAUUUGGGGCAAGAAAGACUAAACCACCUGACUUAUUUUUGUCACAACUCAAAGGAAAGAUGGGAAUAUGGGUGAGAAGGACUGAUAUUCCCCAGGCAGAACUUUACAAGAACAGAAGGAAAUGUUUUCUUCAGAUGAUAAUCCAAGGAUGUGGUGAGCCCAGACAUGAGGGUAGUUGAGAAAGCAUGCCAGAGACUGUGCUGAAUGCAUUUGGAUUGCACAGGUUUGCCAGAUCCCAAAGCUAAUUAGGACUAGGCAGAAAGAGGCUCAGCACUCCACAGCCUGGCUAGUUCCCUUAAGGUAAUGCUUUUUUGAAGUCUGAGAAUAUCCCAUUGUUUAUUUAAGCUUUAGCCCUCAGCCUUUUCCAAAAGGAUUUGAAGGGGCUUAAACAUUAAUCAAAAUGCAAACUAAGAUUAUUAGUAAUAAGCCAAAAUCAAGUCUAUCCAAAUAAAUAAAUAAAAGAAUAAAUGUUGCCAGAGGUGGAAGAUAAGCUGAUUGUUUCUCUGGGUAAUGGGUUUGGCACCAGUGUGAGAAUAUUACCUGGGAUAUCCCUGAGGGAAGACAGAACCCAGGCACAUAUCUAACAAAAGACACUGUCAAAUCUCAAGGUUGGCCAAAUUACAGGGUUGAGCAACAUCUGCCCUCCCACCCACCAAUUCUGAGAUUAUUUUUAUUUUAUGUGGAAUUUUGUUUAAAUAAGCAUCACUUUCAGGGGUUGGUGGUGGUGGUAAAAUCAGACAUGAUUCCUGAUGGUGUAUGAGGAUGGUGAGAGGCACUCUUAACUCGAAUUAGUUGAAUUUGAGAGGGAAGUAUCUGGAUGAGCCUCAGCUUUUCCCUUUUCACCCAGAAGCAACAAAAAGAGCAAAGCAUUACUCUUCUCUCCUGGGGGACUGGCUGCCUCUGUGACUGCUCUAAGAGCCACAGUAUCAAUUCUACUCCCUCCCUACCUUGCCCGUCUUUCAUGUGGAAGGCAUUCAACAUUCUCCACCCCCAUUUCAGGGAAAGGUAAGCAGAUCCUGGAGCAGUGUUAUUUAAGACACAAGAAAAAUUGUACUAAAGUGUGUGCCUGUGUGUGUGUGUGUGUUUGUGUGUGGUGUGUGCUGAAUGUCAGUGAACUCAGGAACAAUAGAAGCCUACAGAUAUUUCUAGACCUUAGGGCAAGGUUUGGGCAAUUUCUCAAAUAAUCUUUCUUUCUGUUGCAGCCAUCAGCAGAAAUUUGAUGGGUCAUUGGCCAAUGCAUUCAUGAGUUUGGAGGGAGACAACUAAAACUUUACUGAGCUAGGCCAGACCACAAAGGUCUGGACCAGGUUUUCAGAUUGCUAAAAAUAACAAUUCUGACUUAUUAAUUACUGAGGCAGAACAGGAAUGAUAUACAUGAAGGACUAGGCUCUGAAAUGCCUCAGGGAGGCUGUAGAAGUCAGUCAAUGCCACAGUACCGCUGUGCAGCCAUCCCCACCCCCACUCCUCAGCUCGGUGGCUGAAAAACACAGAAUUAAUUUGUGCUCACACAUCUUUGGGCCAGCUAGAGUUUCAUUAAACUGAUCUGGGUUCCACUAAACUUAAACUUUGGGCCACGGAUUGAGGUCAGAGUCUCUUGUUCUGUAACGAGUAGGCAACUCAGGAACUUUCUAUCAUGGCUAUGGGAAAAGUGCAAGAAGACAAGUCCAAUCCUGCAUGCACAUUUCAAAUCACAUUUCAAUUGUACUAACAUCCCACUAUCUAAAACAAGUUCCAUGGCCAAAUCAAAGGUCAGCAGCCAGGGAAACAUUUUCUGUCUAUUCUGAGCCCAUGGCAAGAACUUGGAUGGAUGAUACUACAAGGGAGUGAAAAAUUGGGAACAAUAAUUCUAUGCCAAAGAAUAAUGCCAAAUAAUACCACUAAUGCCAAAGAGGCAUUCCUGAAUUGGUAGGUUAUGCAGCCUAUGUGGAGAAAGCAAAUUCUCUGGUUAGGAAAGCCCCAAACCAGAGACCUAGGGCUUUCUGUAAUGUUUUAGGCCAGUGAAAAGCGUAAGGUCGGAAAUCAGGUCCCCACUCAAGGAUGUCAUAUAAAGAUGUUGUCAUUAUAGCACACUUACAUCCUCCCAUAUUCUAUUUUUAACUGAGUCUUCAGGAGUACCUGAGGUUUCAACAUAACAGGGUAAGGUAAAGCCUUCCACGUGUUUUUUAAAUCUUUGUUUCUCUCUAGCAUGUUUUGUUCCACAAAGCUAAGGGCCAGGAAACCGUUUCUUUUUAUUAAUGAAACAAAUCUGUUCCUUGCUAUAGACAAUUUUUACUUUGUAGAGAUCUUAUUCCCUUCUUUGUGAGAACUUUCAGGAUGCUCAUGGAUAGCUCUGGCCAUGACAGUUUUAAUAGAGCUUCUUUUUCCUCUUUUAUUUAUGAUUUCUCUGUUUCACUACAUGGUUUUCAGUUUUACUGCCACUGAACAUUCAUUGCAGGCUGCCUUGAUUCAGUUUUGAAAGCAGACAAGCAAAGAAAGAAGGAGGGAGGGAGUGGAAAAGGAAGAAAUAAAAGAGAAAAAAGAUUGAACUUGGUAUCAUGUCUUGUCCUUAUGUUAAAUAAUAUUACAAUCAGGCAUAUUUUUUGGUCCUUAAUAUUAAACAACACUGAGAACAAGCAACAGUAACUUAGUUCCUGGAAGAUCCUUGCUCUUGGAAGAUAAUACCAACAGCCAACUAAAAUAGCUUACUUGUCAAGACUAAUAGUUUGCUCAUCAGAACUUCCUUCUGGAUCCCCAUAGUCCUAUUCUCAUCAACCCAAAGCUACUAUUGUAUAAACUCUGUCUUGCAAGACCCACCUUAAAAAAUGACCCAAUCUGGGCCCUUCCAUAAAUAUUCUCUCUCAUUAUUUCCCCUUGACCUUAUCGAGAUUGUGUUAUCCAGUACUGCAACAAAUCUAAUAAACUUAGAUUUGAAUAAUCAAUAGAUUUGUGGUCUUUAGGGAAAUCAUUAUUCAGCAGAAAAAAGCAAGUUUUUUAUUUGUAAAAAUCAGCCAUUGUCUUGUAUAUUUAUAUACCUGUGUAAGCUACAGAACAUACUCUGGCAAUAACCUAAAAUGCUACCAAUUUCAACCUUGUCAAAUACAUUAGUCAUCUCUGACUUUUGAUAGGAAAAGACACAUAUAACAACUGAAAAAAUUCAUUAAAAUGUGUGGUGGUUAUUAAGAAAGAUGAAGUUAUAUUUAUAAAACUAGCAAGUCAGUUUGAAAUAUUUUGACUUAAAAAGAUGAAUUGGGAAAUCUUUUUUUC
RNAcentral lists this long non-coding RNA (4837 nucleotides) under Homo sapiens (human). Its description in RNAcentral is "HSALNT0378468". The record is from RNAcentral. Lineage: Eukaryota; Metazoa; Chordata; Mammalia; Primates; Hominidae.